UGAGAUUAUCAGUGACGAUGUGGAGA
This 26-nucleotide unclassified non-coding RNA is filed under the name Mus musculus (house mouse). RNAcentral's name for it is "oocyte_clustered_small_RNA12971". Lineage: Eukaryota; Metazoa; Chordata; Mammalia; Rodentia; Muridae. The record is from RNAcentral.